Molecule: long non-coding RNA, 3337 nt
Filed under: Phascolarctos cinereus (koala)
Lineage: Eukaryota; Metazoa; Chordata; Mammalia; Diprotodontia; Phascolarctidae
Description: lncRNA (ENSPCIG00000020363.2)
Source: RNAcentral
GAGGAAUUUUUUCAUUUCUCACCAAUGGCUUUGAGGGGCACUCGGAGAGUGACAUCUGCCCAGACCAAUAAGGGCCAUCCUAUCCCCCGCGUCCCCCCUCCCCCCACCUCUUAUCUCUUCAGAGCGGUAAAUAAGGAAACCGGCAUGGGUGGAUUCGGUUAAUUAGACGGUGCUGAACGAAGGGAAGGGUGCUGGUGAGGGCGCGGCGCGAGAAGGAGGCUUCAAGCUGCCACAACCCUCCCCCACCCCUCCCCGCGGUGGUUGCGACAGAACGGGUUCAGCCGCCAUCAUGUUCUAGCUUUCCCCUUCACCUCAGUACGCGACCGAAAAAGCGGCCUCUGUGGGGGUCGGGGGCGUGGCCCCGUGAUUGGCGCAGGCGUGCCAGCCAAUCUCAGCUCGCUCAACGGGAAGGUCCCGGCCAAUAAGAGGCAGCGACGGCGGCGAGGAGCGAAGGGGCGGGCCGAGGGCUUGACGGGCAGUCGCACUGGGCCAGUGGGAGGAGGGCGGUGGCGGCGCGUGGCCAAUGGCGUGCCCGAGGAGGCGGGUCCCCGGCUGUUUGUGUUGUGGCCGGGGCGGGGGGAGGGAGGCGGAGGGGGAAAGUUUGUUUAUUUUGUUUUGAGUUUCUGGGUCCGCGGCGCUCGCGGAGGUGAAGAGGGAGGGAGUCGCCCCCGCCCCCUCGGGCCGCGUCUCCCACGCCGUCUCCUCGGCCGGCGGGGACUCAGCCCAGCGCGCCGCCGCCGCCACCGGCUCAGCGGCCGUAUUUGUGUGUUUCUGCAGAGUUUUGCACAGAUUCUGUUCCCAUGCAAACCGAUGAGGGAGAAAUAUUGGAAGAAAGCUGCUCGGAGGUGGGACAUGAAGAUUUGGUAAUGGAAGGGCAUGGCAAGACUCCGCCUCCUGGUGAAGAAAGCCAACAGCUCACCCCUCAGGGCCAUCUCGUGGGAUGAGGCCUGCUGCUGCUCGUCCUGCCAGCGCUCUCUUCAUUUCCUGGCACGCUGUGUGUGCGGCAGAAACGCACCUCCCGACCUUCCCGGGAAGCCCAGUCUCCUCUGUACAACGAGAGAGCGCAGUGGCCUAGGAGCAGGUAGGGCUGGGCCAGCUGGCAGCCAUCUCCUCGGCUGCUGUCCCGCUUUACCAUUCUUCACUUUUUCACCCUUCAUCCUUUCCGCCUCUUUCUCCUUCUGUUCCUCCUGGUCCACCUCCUGUCCUUGUCCCGUGCACACAGAGAAAGCCACGCAGCCAACACCCCUCUCUUGGCAUGCUUUUGACAAAACGUCAUUCCUCUGCGAUUUGAGCUUUUAGAGAGCGAGAGCUGUCCUCGGCCUGUGGGCUGUCUGCUUCUCAGAGCACUUGGGAGUGUCUCUGCUGAUGGUCCCAGACACGGUUGGCUGGGCAAGAUCGAGGUGAGUGGAGCCUGGCAGACUGGCCCAUUUUCAUGUCCUGCCUUGCAUUUAUGCCUGCCAGUAUGUAAAAUAGCGAGCUGGGGUGGGGCUGGGGGGGUGGUUGCUGUGGCCCAGUGAGCAGGUCCAGUUUGUCCGCAUUUGGAAAUUCUCUCGUGGCCAUAUUGCUCAGGAAUUCAGCCCGACCCGUGCUCCUCCUCCAUUUCUGCUGCUGUCCACCUCCUCUUUUCUUUCAUUACUUUCACUUUUACAAUGCUGACAGGUGAAUGGCCUGGAUAAUUUUUGUCUGUACAGUUCUAGUAAAUGAUUUCUAGAAUUAAUUUUAGUUUGUGUUGUUUCAAGAGUCUCAUUUGACUGAUGACCACGAUGGUAGAUGUGAGCCUGAGAACGCUGGCCAUACAUAUGGAUGCCUUUUCCUGAGCUGUACAUCUGCCCUUCUCAUUGCCGAGCUCUUCUGCUUGGAGAGAAGCCAGAAAGCCUAAUACUGGAUCUGUCUGCCCUGGUUGCACACCUGGCCUUGGCUCUGCUACGGUCACUGUUGGGCCUCCCUGACAGUGAAAGGGACAAUUCAACGUUGAGUUAAGAUCGGUAGGCUAGCUACGUGUAACUGGAUGUCCAUUAAAAAAUCUGGCCUAGAAGCGUAGCCCUGAGGUAAAGCUUUUGUGACUUAUUCUUAAAACUAAGUAACAAAAGGUGACAGGUUGUUUUGUCUGCUAGCGUCUGAAAACUGCUGACAACAUGGACGUCGUUUCAAAACUUGGGACAGACAAGUGUGUGUUAAUUGACUGCUUUGUCAACUAACUUGUAAAAACAAUUGGAGGUCCUGUGUGGCCAUCACGUGCAGAAUGUUUGACCCCAGAUGCAGUGGAAAACCAUCAUUUUUCGUGGCCUCCAGAGCCCUCCUAAGGCCGCACAGGAACUGUCACCCUGGCAGAGGAGAUUUUGCUGCUUACGUGAGGCUCCUCCUGCCGUGUAGUCAUGACAUCUGGUCAGGAAAAACUUCAUAGCCAAAGUCACAAAGUCACAUUGAAGAGCUCAAAACCCCUCCUGCCCAUUCCUCCUAGAAGUCGUUACCUGACAGGAGAAAUUGUGGAAAAUCACAGGAAUAGAAAGUGAAUCCAGAUGUAAUCAAAGCAUUAGAUGGCUUAGCUGAAAGAGAUUUGGAAUUCUUUGUAGGUGACAGAUGUUUGAAAUAAUAGGGAAGAGGGGAAGAGGGAAAGACAGGCCAGUGCUUCAGCAUCAUGGAUUCCCCCUUCUCCUGAAUGGCUUGUGGGCUGCAGCAGCAGCUGAGGCUGGUGUGUGUCAGCAGAAGAGAGCAAAGCAGCUCUGUGCUCUCUGUCCUGUUCACUUGGCUUCCUUCCGGCACCUGAGCAACUGAACCCUAUGGAAAAUGAUUUCCCUAUUAGCCUCUGUUCCUUUGGAAGCCAUUUUGUCAUCCACUAGCCUUUCCCUGAUAAGAGUAUCCGUACAACCUCACUGCGGUCAAGAGCGAGCAUUGUGUGGUGUCUCCUUGUGGGUUUGAACAGAAGUGGGGUAGCUGUCUGCCCACCAAAUGUUUCCAGCUGAGAAAAUGCUAAUGAUGCUUCCAGCACCUUUCACGUAUCUGUGUGCUUUGAGUGAGGGUCCAGUAUUUCAUCCCUCCCCCACUCCAGUCCCCCCCCCCAUCUAUACCUUACAUCUUCUUGAGCUGCCGACGGGUCAUGGCAUCCCUUUUAUCGUAGCAAAGAGCUGGAAACCAGGGAGAUGCCCAGUAAUGGACAGUGGUUAAUCACAGAGUGGUAGAGAAACGUGAUGGCGUAUUACUGAGCUUCCCGAAAUUAUAAUGGUGACAAAUUCAGAGAAGCUUAGGAAGACUUGGGGAAAUGAUAUGCGGAGCAGAGCACACAAAACCAGCACUGGCAGCGUGGAAUUAUUUAAUAAAUGCUUGCUGAUCUCAUUCA